CAAGCUCUAUUCUUCGGUGUCUUCAACACGAAAAAUCGAAUUUAUCACAGUAAAAUAACAAAACCAAUUUGUUGGCUCGUUAAUAGAUAAUUUCGGUUUGAAAUUAUAAUUCAUCGGGACAGCUGCAGAAUCGAAACCGAUUACAAUUUCGCUGAGCUCAAGCGAAUCAAGCGCGAUGACAUAAGUCCUUUUUUUAUGACUUAUGUAUUAACAACGCCAGGAAUUAAAUUGACUGUAAAGUAUAUUAGUAUCGAUCUUUUCGUUAAUAUCUUCGUUUUCAAUACGGCGUAGUAUUUCUGUUGACUCAACUCAAUAUAAAUAUUCCAGAUAGCACAGAGAGGUAAAAAUUCAGUCAUAUGUCAUCAAUUCUGAGUUCAUUCUCAGAUGCGAGAAAAAGUUCUUUUCAUAUCUCAGAAAGUGAACUCAGAAUUGAUGACAUACGACUGAACAUACGAAUUAAUGAAUUUCUCUUUCAACUCUGUGUGCUAUCUGGGAUGAUAAUAGCGUAGGUAAGAGCUUUAAGAAUUUUAUCCUGUAUACUUUUAUUUUGACCUUUUUUUUAUCGUAACGCAUUUCAUUAUCGAUAAACGACAGGCACGCUCAUAUAGCGAGCCGAAAUAGGUAACGUCUUACACGACGUUUAAACACUUUUUAAACAGGACUCAAGAAAAAGACGAAUUUCGAAAGUUAAGAUCUUUAAUUCCCUUUCUUCCUGCAUCGAUUUGAUCACCGCCGCGAAUUUAUUGCUAUUUACAAGCGACACUGGCCACUCGCCGUUCGAAAUAAAUCCGCGGUCUUAUUAUAUCAUCUCUCGUUGAUGAUGAAAGAUGUUGAAAUUUCUGAUGAUUCGGACAAGACGAUGAAAAAUGAAGCGACAAAAUGAUGCAAUAGUUUUAGAAAGUAUCUGAAGAUCGAAAUGGAACAUAUUGAAGAAAGUAUAGACAAAAUGAAAAGGACGAUAUUGUACUUCGUAGAAAAGGAUAAUGUACUUCACAGGUAUACAAAAAUACUGCAUACUUGGCGUCACGAUACUGUCGCUCGAUAUAGAUAUGUAUUUUUUAUUUAAAUUUAAUAAAAUUCUAAACUUUGUUAAAAUUAAAAUUUUUUUUUUUUAAUAUGCAGCCAUUUUUUUUUAAUUUUGUGCACAUAAUUUCAAAAGAACUGGUCAACUAAUCUUUACAAAAUCCGCAAAAAAAAACCGUUUCGGAAUUCUUUUUUAAAUGUUUAAUACUUAGAAAUAUUUUAGGGAGUCUCGAUACGUGUGUGAAAAGUUUAUAUUCAUUCAGAUAUCGUUAAAAGCUACUUCAAACUUCAAUCUUUUUGUCUCGGCUUACGUACGAAAAGAGUGAAAAACAGGUGAACCGUUUAAUCGAGACUCUUUGUUCAGAAUCACAAACGAUUAAAAUAAUAACCGAUGCCAAGACCGAUUCUUCGGUCGCCGGUUCUUCCUCUUUCGCUCGCCUGGAUUUUCGUAUACAAUCUCGAAAAAAAGAAGUACGAGAUCCCCUCCCGCUGUUUCAGAUACAUAGUAUAAUGUUCCGAGGGGAGAGACGUGAAGGGCAUUGUACUUCAGCUUCUUUAGCGAUGCCCAGGCCAGGUCGACUCGACCGACCGUUAUUGCGGUGUCGUUAUUGACGCUGCAUCUGGCUUGGUGUCUGGCUUAGCAACACACCUUGACGGCGGGAAAGCACGUUGUCGAGGAUCGUCAUACAGUGCUCAGGCUUCCUGAAAUAUUUAAUCCGUUUCCGGUCUUUUGCAGAUUUUUCAAAUGCUGAAAAUUUCUCACUUUCAGCAGACAAAAGCGCUAUAAGCAUUCUCGACUUCGACAUUCAGACAAAUAACAAUGACAGUUUUUCUCGUUAUAUAAUAUAUUAUAGUCACUCUCUCCUAUAGUCUUACGCAUCACAUUGACACGGAAAGAAAGUCAGAGUAGAAAAGAAAACAAAUAUUUCUCCUCGCUCUCUUCACGUGCACUGUAUUUCUUUUUUCUUUUUCAAUACAGAGAGAAUUAAAGUAAAGAACAUAAUGUCCUUUCUUCAUCCCCUCUGUUUAUUUUCUGUAUUUCUUAAAAAUAUGCUCAAAUACAUCGAUAUAACAUAUCACAGAUAAAUAUGUGAAAUAAAUAUUGGUUAAAUAAA
Long non-coding RNA from Wasmannia auropunctata (little fire ant), 2138 nucleotides. RefSeq lists it as uncharacterized. NCBI's taxonomy places the organism in Eukaryota, Metazoa, Arthropoda, Insecta, Hymenoptera, Formicidae. The transcript is spliced from 2 exons. The record is from RefSeq and is a predicted model, not a curated record.